RNAcentral lists this transfer RNA (78 nucleotides) under human gut metagenome. It matches the Rfam family "tRNA". From Rfam's summary of the family: Transfer RNA (tRNA) molecules are approximately 80 nucleotides in length. The record is from RNAcentral. RNAcentral also lists the same sequence under 1 other name.
CAUGUGGUGGAAUUGGUAGACACGUUGGACUCAAAAUCCAAUGAAGCAAUUCGUGAGGGUUCGAGUCCCUCCAUGGGC